RNAcentral lists this ribosomal RNA (523 nucleotides) under uncultured bacterium. RNAcentral describes it as "bacterial SSU rRNA". It matches the Rfam family "Bacterial small subunit ribosomal RNA", at positions 355 to 896 of the family's 1533-position model. RNAcentral also lists the same sequence under 1 other name. The record is from RNAcentral.
UGGGGAAUCUUGGACAAUGGGCGCAAGCCUGAUCCAGCCAUGCCGCGUGAGUGAUGAAGGCCUUAGGGUCGUAAAGCUCUUUCGCCAGAGAUGAUAAUGACAGUAUCUGGUAAAGAAACCCCGGCUAACUCCGUGCCAGCAGCCGCGGUAAUACGGAGGGGGUUAGCGUUGUUCGGAAUUACUGGGCGUAAAGCGUACGUAGGCGGAUUAGUCAGUCAGAGGUGAAAUCCCAGGGCUCAACCCUGGAACUGCCUUUGAUACUGCUAGUCUUGAGUUCGAGAGAGGUGAGUGGAAUUCCAAGUGUAGAGGUGAAAUUCGUAGAUAUUUGGAGGAACACCAGUGGCGAAGGCGGCUCACUGGCUCGAUACUGACGCUGAGGUACGAAAGUGUGGGGAGCAAACAGGAUUAGAUACCCUGGUAGUCCACACCGUAAACGAUGAAUGCCAGUCGUCGGGCAGUAUACUGUUCGGUGACACACCUAACGGAUUAAGCAUUCCGCCUGGGGAGUACGGUCGCAAGAUUA